RNAcentral lists this ribosomal RNA (887 nucleotides) under uncultured Methanolobus sp. RNAcentral's name for it is "bacterial SSU rRNA". It matches the Rfam family "Archaeal small subunit ribosomal RNA", at positions 18 to 907 of the family's 1478-position model. Lineage: Archaea; Methanobacteriati; Methanobacteriota; Methanomicrobia; Methanosarcinales; Methanosarcinaceae. The record is from RNAcentral.
CAGAGGUCACUGCUAUCAGUGUUCGACUAAGCCAUGCGAGUCAAAUGUUCUUCGUGAACAUGGCGUACUGCUCAGUAACACGUGGACAACCUGCCMUAAGGUCUGGCAUAACUCCGGGAAACUGGGGAUAAUUCCAGAUAAACCAUGGAUACUGGAAUGUACUGUGGUUAAAAGCUCCGGUGCCUUAGGAUGGAUCUGCGGCCUAUCAGGUAGUAGUGGGUGUAAUGUACCUACUAGCCUACGACGGGUACGGGUUGUGAGAGCAAGAGCCCGGAGAUGGAUUCUGAGACAUGAAUCCAGGCCCUACGGGGCGCAGCAGGCGCGAAAACUUUACAAUGCGGGAAACCGCGAUAAGGGGACACUGAGUGCCAGCACCAUGUGCUGGCUGUCCGCAUGUAUAAAUCACAUGUGUCAGCAAGGGCCGGGCAAGACCGGUGCCAGCCGCCGCGGUAACACCGGCGGCCCGAGUGGUGGCCAUUAUUAUUGGGUCUAAAGGGUCCGUAGCCGGUUUGAUCAGUCUUCCGGGAAAUCUGACAGCUCAACUGUUAGGCUUCUGGGGGAUACUGUCAGACUUGGAACCGGGAGAGGUAAGAGGUACUACAGGGGUAGGAGUGAAAUCUUGUAAUCCUUGUGGGACCACCAGUGGCGAAGGCGUCUUACCAGAACGGGUUCGACGGUGAGGGACGAAAGCUGGGGGCACGAACCGGAUUAGAUACCCGGGUAGUCCCAGCCGUAAACGAUGCUCGCUAGGUGUCUGGGAUGGUGCGACCGUUUCAGGUGCCGCAGGGAAGCCGUGAAGCGAGCCACCUGGGAAGUACGGCCGCAAGGCUGAAACUUAAAGGAAUUGGCSGGGGAGCACUACAACGGGUGGAGCCUGCGGUUUAUUG